AAAAAAAGAGAGGAAGAGGAAGAUAUAAGGAUAAAGGCAAUGAUUAUCAUCAAUCAGCAACCGAGAGAAGAGAGGAAGAUGAAAAGAAGAAAAAUGAGGAGGAGAAGUCGAUGUUGUGCACGACGAUGUGCAGGAGGAGGAGAAGAUCUGCCGACACGUGUUUUGCAAUUUCGCUGCUCCCUCCAGCGCGAUUCCACCAUAUAUGUGCCGGAUCUGAGGGUGCGAAGUGCUCUAUGGUGAAUUUAGGCCAAUUCGCAGCGAUGAACGGUGGCAAGGCACGACGGUCCAGUGGCGGCACGUGGUGGUCGGGUGGUGGCACGUGCGGAGGUGCGCGGACUUCCGAUGGUUGCACACAAUGAGUCCUAGGAACCCGG
Molecule: long non-coding RNA, 374 nt
Filed under: Carica papaya (papaya)
Lineage: Eukaryota; Viridiplantae; Streptophyta; Magnoliopsida; Brassicales; Caricaceae
Description: long non-coding RNA (CPAP_LNC009220)
Source: RNAcentral